GUGGGGAAUAUUGGACAAUGGGCGAAAGCCUGAUCCAGCCAUGCCGCGUGUGUGAAGAAGGUCUUCGGAUUGUAAAGCACUUUAAGUUGGGAGGAAGGGCAGUAGGUUAAUACCUUGCUGUUUUGACGUUACCGACAGAAUAAGCACCGGCUAACUUCGUGCCAGCAGCCGCGGUAAUACGAAGGGUGCAAGCGUAAAUCGGAAUUACUGGGCGUAAAGCGCGCGUAGGUGGUUUUGUAAGUUGGAGGUGAAAUCCCCGGGCUCAACCUGGGAACUGCCUCCAAAACUGCAUGACUAGAGUACGGUAGAGGGUAGUGGAAUUUCCUGUGUAGCGGUGAAAUGCGUAGAUAUAGGAAGGAACACCAGUGGCGAAGGCGACCACCUGGACUGAUACUGACACUGAGGUGCGAAAGCGUGGGGAGCAAACAGGAUUAGAUACCCUUGUAGUCC
Molecule: ribosomal RNA, 450 nt
Filed under: uncultured bacterium
Lineage: Bacteria
Description: partial 16S ribosomal RNA
Rfam family: Bacterial small subunit ribosomal RNA
Source: RNAcentral